RNAcentral lists this ribosomal RNA (411 nucleotides) under uncultured bacterium. RNAcentral describes it as "bacterial SSU rRNA". It matches the Rfam family "Bacterial small subunit ribosomal RNA", at positions 356 to 758 of the family's 1533-position model. The record is from RNAcentral.
GGGGAAUAUUGGGCAAUGGGCGAAAGCCUGACCCAGCGACGCCGCGUGGGUGAUGAAGGCCUUCGGGUUGUAAAGCCCUGUCAUGCGGAAAGAACGACCCUGAGACGCAUACUCUCAGGGAGUGACGGUACCGCAGGAGGAAGCACCGGCUAACUCCGUGCCAGCAGCCGCGGUAAUACGGAGGGUGCAAGCGUUGUUCGGAAUUAUUGGGCGUAAAGGGCGCGUAGGCGGUAAUGUAAGUCAGAUGUGAAAUACUCCGGCUCAACCAGAGAACAGCAUCUGAGACUUCAUAACUCGAGUACAGAAGAGGGAAACGGAAUUCCCGGUGUAGAGGUGAAAUUCGUAGAUAUCGAGAGUAACACCAGUGUCGAAGGCGGUUUCCUGGUCUGAUACUUACGCUGAGGCGCGAAA